UAUGCCUAUGUUCUCUCUCUUCUUGACUUCGACUGUUAUAUGGUAUGAGUAAUAUGACACUGGUUUUUUAUCAUUCAUUUUUGAUGUAUUCAGCUUGCAUUGAUCAUUGAGGUACGCCUGACCACCCUGCAAGAACUUGCACAUUGGAACACCAAGAAGGGGCUAUUUGCUGGGGUGCUGCUUAUUCUGUGCGUGGGGGCCCUGAAAGGGAAAGACUGGCUAUGGAGUACUUGGAAAGGAGAGAAUGUGAAUAUGAUGCAAAGACUCUUGUGAAUUAAUUCAAAUCAGUGAAUUGUUGAGUUAUCAAAUAUGUUGGUAUUAGGAGAAACAGGAUCUGUG
Molecule: long non-coding RNA, 339 nt
Organism: Rosa rugosa (rugosa rose)
Lineage: Eukaryota; Viridiplantae; Streptophyta; Magnoliopsida; Rosales; Rosaceae
Exons: 3
Source: RefSeq, a predicted model, not a curated record